RNAcentral lists this ribosomal RNA (222 nucleotides) under uncultured bacterium. RNAcentral's name for it is "partial 16S ribosomal RNA". It matches the Rfam family "Bacterial small subunit ribosomal RNA", at positions 112 to 334 of the family's 1533-position model. The record is from RNAcentral.
CGGACGUGGGUAACCUGCCCUAUACACAUGGAUAACAUACUGAAAAGUUUACUAAUACAUGAUAAUAUAUAUUUACGGCAUCGUAGAUAUAUCAAAGUGUUAGCGGUAUAGGAUGGACCCGCGUCUGAUUAGCUAGUUGGUGAGAUAACUGCCCACCAAGGCGACGAUCAGUAGCCGACCUGAGAGGGUGAUCGGCCACAUUGGAACUGAGACACGGUCCAA